GAUGGCAGGAUAAUUAUUGACCUGAGGAAUAAUAUGGAUUUAUGUGGUUGUGAAAAUAGACUUUGUGUUUGUGAGUGUGAAAAUGUUAGUGUGUGUGUGUGUGUGUGUGCGCGCGGACGCGCGCUGGGACCCCACUUGACAGAUUGACCAAAGGAGCAUUAGUGGAAAAAAACAGGGUAGCCCUGAGACAAUAGGAUGACGUCACGACCAAUGAGAACGGCCAGCAGGGGGCGCAAGGAUUCACUUCUCUCUUGGACACUGACGGGUCUCGACACGCAAAUUCUGCUCCUGGCGUUGGCCGUCAGUGGAAGAGCGUAGCUUCGGUGGGGUUCUGUCUGCCUCUGAUGGGGUGCGGAUGUGUGGUUCGUCGCUGGUGAAUGGUGUUCGACGAUGCAGGUGGAUUUUGUGAGGAGCGGAUUUACAAUGAGGGAAUGCUGUGAACGGGAAAAAUGAUGAGCUGUCCUAACUUGCCCAGACAUGCCAUGAUGACGUCACAGCUGACGUCACAGGAUGUGCGGAACUGGUGCUGCGAUGCUUUGCAACCUGCCUCCGUGCUCCAUCGCCCAGCGACAGUCAGCGGCCGUUCCGGACCGCUUUCUUCAAGAUGACGUCGUUGAUCUUCAACUAAACUCCUUCUCUCCACUCUAUUUCUAUCUUUUCAUUUUAUUUUCUACCUAUUUUUUAUUUUUUUAUCAGCUCAAGUAGCCGGAAACUCACACAGUGGUCUGGACGUGUCUUAGAUGAUCCCCAAUUAGUGUAAUGACUCCCUGGUGGGUCCUGAUUAAUGUGGGGGGUCCCAAUUAGCUCUAAUUGCUAAUUAAUGGCGUCCAGACGAAGAUGUGAGUUUCCGGAUACUUGAGCUGAUACAUUACUACUCUUAGGCAGCCAGCCGGCCUGCGCAUGCUCUUGGGGUCAGGUGAGCGAUCACAUGGUGGACAGGAGCAUCCAUGAAUGCAAAGCGGGGCUGGCACGCUCGUCCCCAUGGCAGAAACUUGGAAGGGCCGCUACUGUGUUUCCUUCCUCCAUGCUGCAAGCAGUUGAACAAUCCGAGGAUGGCGUACCUAAUGUUUGGGACCGUGGUGCUAAUCUCCAGCUCCGUGUUGUGCUACGGCAUUCCAUUCAAAGCAUGUGGGAGGAAACCAGGUGUGGUGACGGCAACGCGCAGUGCUGCCCUGGCGUCGAAAUUACUGACAAUGUGCGCCCAGAGAAUGUUAAUAAAACACGACAUCGAGCCCAAGAUAAUA
Long non-coding RNA from Ornithodoros turicata, 1244 nucleotides. RefSeq lists it as uncharacterized. The transcript is spliced from 5 exons. NCBI's taxonomy places the organism in Eukaryota, Metazoa, Arthropoda, Arachnida, Ixodida, Argasidae. The record is from RefSeq and is a predicted model, not a curated record.